GCCUACGGGGCGCAGCAGUAGGGAAUCUUCCACAAUGGGCGAAAGCCUGAUGGAGCAACGCCGCGUGGGUGAAGAAGGUCUUCGGAUCGUAAAACCCUGUUGUUAGAGAAGAUAGUGCGUGAGAGUAACUGUUCACGUUUCGACGGUAUCUAACCAGAAAGCCACGGCUAACUACGUGCCAGCAGCCGCGGUAAUACGUAGGGGGCAAGCGUUAUCCGGAUUUAUUGGGCGUAAAGAGAAAGCAGGCGGUCUUUUAAGUCUGAAGUGAAAGCAU
RNAcentral lists this ribosomal RNA (274 nucleotides) under uncultured bacterium. RNAcentral's name for it is "partial 16S ribosomal RNA". It matches the Rfam family "Bacterial small subunit ribosomal RNA", at positions 337 to 603 of the family's 1533-position model. The record is from RNAcentral.